GUUCUGCUGGCGGGGAAGGAGCUCUGUGAUGGCUAGCUGAGAUGGGGGAUUCAGCCAUCUUCUGGUGGCUCGUGCUUGUCAGACAUUGCAGGGCUGGUUCAGAGCUUCAA
MicroRNA precursor from Gallus gallus (chicken), 110 nucleotides. The record is from Ensembl. NCBI's taxonomy places the organism in Eukaryota, Metazoa, Chordata, Aves, Galliformes, Phasianidae.